This 305-nucleotide ribosomal RNA is filed under the name uncultured bacterium. Its description in RNAcentral is "bacterial SSU rRNA". It matches the Rfam family "Bacterial small subunit ribosomal RNA", at positions 338 to 657 of the family's 1533-position model. The record is from RNAcentral.
CCUACGGGAGGCAGCAGUGGGGAAUAUUGGGCAAUGGGCGCAAGCCUGACCCAGCAACGCCGCGUGAAGGAAGAAGGCUUUCGGGUUGUAAACUUCUUUUCUCAGGGACGAAGAAAGUGACGGUACCUGAGGAAUAAGCCACGGCUAACUAUGUGCCAGCAGCCGCGGUAAUACAUAGGGAGCAAGCGUUAUCCGGAUUUAUUGGGUGUAAAGGGUGCGUAGACGGGAAAUUAAGUUAGUUGCGAAAUCCCUCGGCUUAACUGAGGAACUGCAACUAAAACUGAUUUUCUUGAGUACUGGAGAGG